CUAUAGACUACACGGUAAAUAUUUUAGUUGGAUAACUGAGGUAAUUCUUGAGCUAAUACACGCUAUUUAUACCACAUUAGUGGUGCGUUUAUUUGAUUAAACCAUUUUAUAUUGGUUGACUCAAAAUAUCCUCGCUGAUUUUGUUACUAAAACAUACCGUAUGUGUAUCUGGUUUAUCAACUUUCGAUGGUAGGGUAUUGGCCUACCAUGGUUGUGACGGAUAACGGAGAAUUAGGGUUCGACUCCGGAGAGGGAGCCUGAGAAACGGCUACCACAUCCAAGGAAGGCAGCAGGCGCGAAAAUUACCCAAUUUUAGUUAAAAGAGGUAGUGACGAAAAAUGACAACCAAAUAUUAUUAUUAAUAUUUGGAUUGAAAAUCUUCAAGUAUAAAUAA
RNAcentral lists this ribosomal RNA (394 nucleotides) under Strongyloides stercoralis. RNAcentral's name for it is "SSU rRNA". It matches the Rfam family "Eukaryotic small subunit ribosomal RNA", at positions 110 to 532 of the family's 1831-position model. The record is from RNAcentral. Lineage: Eukaryota; Metazoa; Nematoda; Chromadorea; Rhabditida; Strongyloididae.